Molecule: small nucleolar RNA, 207 nt
Organism: Jaculus jaculus (lesser Egyptian jerboa)
Lineage: Eukaryota; Metazoa; Chordata; Mammalia; Rodentia; Dipodidae
Gene: U3
Rfam family: Small nucleolar RNA U3
About the family: Small nucleolar RNAs (snoRNAs) are involved in the processing and modification of rRNA in the nucleolus. There are two main classes of snoRNAs: the box C/D class, and the box H/ACA class.
Source: Ensembl
AAGACUAUACUUUCAGGGGUCAUUUCUAUAGUUCAUUGCUGGAGAAGUUUCUCUGACUGUGUGGGGAACCGGAAACCACGAGGAGUGUUCUCUCCUAAGCGUGAAGCCAGCUUUUGGUGUUACUUUCCUGCAACUGCAACGUGCCACGGAUGAUCAGUCCUGCUCUUCUUUGGGGGAGCUGGAAGGAGAGUAUGCAGCCUGAGUGGC